CAAGUCGCGCGCGAAAGUGAACUUCGGUUCACGAGUAGAGCGGCGAAAGGGUGAGUAACGCAUAGUUAACCUACCCCUGACACCGGUAUAGCCUCUGGAAACGGAGGGUAAUCCCGGAUGGUCCCAACGGUCGGAAUCGACUGUUGGGUAAAGGUUGGGAUCUUCGGACCUUCCGGUCAGGGAGGGGACUAUGCCCCAUCAGCUUGUUGGUGAGGUAACGGCUCACCAAGGCUUUAACGGGUAGCCGGACUGAGAGGUUGACCGGUCACACUGGGACUGAGACACUGCCCAGACUCCUACGGGAGGCUGCAGUCGAGAAUCUUCCGCAAUGGGCGAAAGCCUGACGGAGCGACGCCGCGUGGGGGAUGAAGGCCUUCGGGUUAUAAACCCCUGACACGGAUUAUGAAUGGCUGUACGUUAAUAGCGUGCAGUUUGACAAAGGUCCGAGAGGAAGCCACGGCUAACUCUGUGCCAGCAGCCGCGGUAAUACAGAGGUGGCAAGCGUUGCUCGGAAUCAUUGGGCAUAAAGGGCGUCUAGGCGGAUGUGUCAGUCGGUUGUGAAAUCCCUCGGCUUAACCGAGGAACUGCUGCCGAUACUGCAUGUCUUGAGGAUGAGAGGGGAGAGUGGAACUCCAGGUGGAGCGGUGAAAUGCGUAGAUAUCUGGAGGAACGCCGGCGGCGAAAGCGACUCUCUGGCUCAUUCCUGACGCUGAAGCGCGAAAGCUAGGGGAGCGAACGGGAUUAGAUACCCCGGUAGUCCUAGCCGUAAACGAUGAGCACUAAGUAGUGGCGGUUUCGAUGUCGUCACUGCCGUAGCUAAUGUGUUAAGUGCUCCGCCUGGGGAGUAUGGUCGCAAGGCAA
Molecule: ribosomal RNA, 861 nt
Filed under: uncultured Planctomycetota bacterium
Lineage: Bacteria; Pseudomonadati; Planctomycetota
Description: bacterial SSU rRNA
Rfam family: Bacterial small subunit ribosomal RNA
Source: RNAcentral